AACGAACGCUGGCGGCGUGCCCAAUACAUGCAAGUCGAGCGGGACUCUUCGGAGUCCAGCGGCGGACGGGUGAGUAACACGUGGGCAACCUGCCUGUAAGACUGGGAUAACACCGGGAAACCGGUGCUAAUACCGGAUAAUCCUUUCCCUCACAUGAGGGGAAGCUGAAAGACGGUUUCGGCUGUCACUUACAGAUGGGCCCGGGGCCACUUAGCUAGUUGGGGAGGUAACGGCUCACCAAGGCGACGAUGCGUAGCCGACCUGAGCGGGGGAUCGGCCACACUGGGACUGAGACACGGCCCAGACUCCUACGGGAGGCAGCAGUAGGGAAUCUUCCGCAAUGGACGAAAGUCUGACGGAGCAACGCCGCGUGAGCGAUGAAGGCCUUCGGGUCGUAAAGCUCUGUUGUCAGGGAAGAAUAAGUAUCGGAGUAACUGCCGGUACCUUGACGGUACCUGACCAGAAAGCCACGGCUAACUACGUGCCAGCCGCCGCCGUAA
RNAcentral lists this ribosomal RNA (500 nucleotides) under uncultured bacterium. RNAcentral describes it as "partial 16S ribosomal RNA". It matches the Rfam family "Bacterial small subunit ribosomal RNA", at positions 29 to 523 of the family's 1533-position model. The record is from RNAcentral.